RNAcentral lists this ribosomal RNA (58 nucleotides) under Helvella sp. KWT1. Its description in RNAcentral is "partial 28S ribosomal RNA". It matches the Rfam family "Eukaryotic large subunit ribosomal RNA", at positions 1 to 57 of the family's 3401-position model. Lineage: Eukaryota; Fungi; Ascomycota; Pezizomycetes; Pezizales; Helvellaceae. The record is from RNAcentral.
AACUCCUCGAAUCAGGCAGGGAUACCCGCUGAACUUAAGCAUAUCAAUAAGCGGAGGA